AACUUUUGGCAAUGGAUCACUUGGCUCUCGCAUCGAUGAAGAACGCAGCGAAAUGCGAGAAGUAAUGUGAAUUGCAGAAUUUAGUGAAUCAUCGAAUCUUUGAACGCACCUUGCGCUCCUUGGUAUUCCGUGGAGCAUGCCUGUAUGAGUGUCAUGUGACUUAUCAACCACAUCAGAUGUUUUGAUGUGGCUUGGAUGUGGGGGUUUCUUUUUGCCGGCUUUUUCUUUUACAGAAGGUCAGCUCCCCUGAAAUGUAUUAGUAGUAUCUGAGCUACUGCUAUCGGUGUGAUAAUUAUCUAUGCCUUUGGUAUGCUGCAUGAACAGAUUGCGCUGCUUAUAACAAUUGAAUUUGACAAAUCUGACCUCAAAUCAGGUAGGACUACCCGCUGAACUUAAGCAUAUCAAUAAGCGGAGGCU
RNAcentral lists this unclassified non-coding RNA (417 nucleotides) under uncultured Inocybe. Its description in RNAcentral is "sequence contains ITS2". The stretch from base 1 to 154 matches the Rfam family "5.8S ribosomal RNA". Lineage: Eukaryota; Fungi; Basidiomycota; Agaricomycetes; Agaricales; Cortinariaceae. The record is from RNAcentral.